UGGCCGUGGAGGCCUGCUCCUCAUGCUCCUCCUCUGGAUCUAAUUCUUGAUUCUUGCGUCGGUCUGAACUGUGCGAUUUACGUUUCGUCAGAGGUCUGUUCUUGGGAUUCUAGUGCUG
This is a long non-coding RNA of Triticum dicoccoides, 118 nucleotides long. RefSeq lists it as uncharacterized. Lineage: Eukaryota; Viridiplantae; Streptophyta; Magnoliopsida; Poales; Poaceae. The transcript is spliced from 3 exons. The record is from RefSeq and is a predicted model, not a curated record.